GUGCAAAGCACAUUUACAACAUAGACAACAAAAUAACAUUUCAAAAAGCACUUCUACAUAAAAAAAAAGGCAAAUAACAAAUUGACAACAAAAUAACAAGUCUGCAACAAAUUAACAAGUGGCUCUUGACGGAAAGGGAUUGUCUGAAAUACCGGAAGUAACUCAACAAUGUUUCUGGCCCAAACAAAGCGCUAGCGGAAGAGGAGCGAAAGCACACGGAUAACACCAGCUAUGUGCGGUCGGUUGUAAUGUUAGAUCGCACGACCGGCAAGGGAAUAAGCUUGAAAUGGUUUAUCUUUUCAUUCUUUCCCCACCUGGAAGCAACAUGAGGCAGCUCAUGUAUCAGAUGUUACCAAAAGAAGACGUCUAGUCUGGAUAGCAGCUGUGAGACGAGCUGAUAUCCAGCUCUCUUCCAUCUCCAAAUAUCUGUUGGUGCUCCAGACAUUUUCAUUCCGGCAAACCAGCCUAUGAAAUGGAUGAAACACAUCGUGACUGGGUUCCAGCGCUACACAUGGGGCACUCCGAAAUCCCUGCUUCAAACAUACCGCCAUGCCAAUCAGAUUACUUCUUCCAUGUGAGGGUGAAGAUGUGACCCUUCUGGAUAAGAUGGUGAAGCAAGGGCGUAGAUUUGGCAUGGACGGAAGGGACAUGUCCCCACCAAUAAUUUGAUCUCUUCGAGUAAAGAAAAACAAACCCGAUAGAAAGAGGAAAAAAAAAAAACGAUCUUUCAACGUCUCAUUCACCCAGCGGUGCAGAAAGAUUUAAAUUACGUUCGCUACUGGAGUCCUACCUCAUGUGACAAAUAUGGCCAAUGUGAUUGGCUGUGCCUUUCGGGGAGCUCUGUUUAGUUUUAGCAGCGGCAAGCCUGCGCUGCGAGGACCUGCAAGGAGGAGAGGAGGAUGGCAGCAAAAAGGAAGAACCUGGAUAUAAGAAAGUAUUUUUCAAAGAAACCUGUGACAGAAGAACCAACACAAAGCUCAGAGAGCAAUGGCGAUACAAGAUCACAGGUGAAAUUGGAUGAUGACUUGGUGGUUCAUUACUGUAUUUGAAGCACAUGUGUGACUGCAUGUAUUUGGAAUGUCUCACUGUUAUUUAUCAGGUGACAGAGGCAGCUCUGCCAUGUUGUAGCUCAGACAGAGGUGAAGAGGCAAGGUCACAGGUGACUGACUGAUGAUUUGGUGCUAUAGAUUAACUAGUAUUUAUUAUCAUGACAAUUGUUAGGCUGCUGAUGUAAAUUGAUUCAUUAGUGUACAUUUGACAAAGAAUCUGAAUCGACAAGUCUCACUUUUUAUAUGGCACGAAUCAAUGUGUUAUUUUAUCAGGUGGCAAUAUGUCCUAGUGCAGUCAGAGGGGAAGAGCCAGGGCCAAAGGUGAGGCACAUCAAGCACAUAAUAAUAAUUUUGUGGUAAUCUUAGAUGAGUAGUUUUAUGGACAAAAACCACCAGGUCAUUCAGUGUUCCCUUAGUGCUAAUGUAUAAGAGAUGUUGGUGUACUAUAACUGAAGUAAUGUUCUUAAGUCCUUAAAGUCAUAUUCUUUUAUUGUCAUGACUGUAUUUGAGGCUGUUUUUAUUUUUGUACGAUACCUGAUUUAUAUGGAAUAUGGCUGAAGUAAACUAAAGUCUAAAAUACUUAGUCAUUUGUUUAAUAGUAAUUUAACAUUAUAUAAUUCACAUAUAAAACUAUGAAUUGUAAUUUUAAAAGGUUUAAAAGCAUGUAGAAUAGCAUAUGUAGACAAGUAUAUUUCUCCUUCUUUUUAUCAAGAAGCAAAGACAAAAAGGGGGGGGGGGGGGGGGACAGGGCAGGGUUCGGUGGUUGAAUCAUCCGUCCCCACCAAUGCCAAAACCAAAUCUACGCCCUUGUGGUGAAGGUUUGCUGCGUUUUGGUGAACAGUGUGGUAGUAAAACCAGGGAAAAAUGAAACUUCCAUCCAUCCAUCCAUUCGCUUCUGCUUAUCCUUUUCAGGGUUGCGGGGGGCGCUGGAGCCUAUCCCAGCUGUCAUAGGGCGAGAGGCGGGGUACGCCCUGGACAGGUCGCCAGUCUGUCGCAGGGCUGAAAAAUGAAACUUGCGCCUGUUAAAUAUUCUUAAGUCUUGCGCUGUAUAAAUAGCGGUAAUUUUUCAAAAGAUACAGUAAAUAAUGUUAGUAGUUGGUGAUAUCAUGUAAACGCUGUCAUGAUUUUGUGUAAACAUUUUGUCAUUUGUAAACUAUAAAUGACAUUGAUUCUACAUUGUAACUGAUGUGAUGUUCUAUAAAGUGGUUUUAAUAAAAAACAAAAGGCAAAA
Oreochromis aureus is the source of this 2280-nucleotide long non-coding RNA. Lineage: Eukaryota; Metazoa; Chordata; Actinopteri; Cichliformes; Cichlidae. The record is from Ensembl.